AGGAACAGGUGCUAAUACCGGAUAAGAAAGCAGAUCGCAUGAUCAGCUUUUUAAAAGGCGGCGUAAGCUGUCGCUGUGGGGAUGGGCCCCGCGGUGCAUUAGCUAGUUGGUAAAGGUAAAAGGGCUUACCAAGGCGAUGAUGCAUAGCCGAGUUGAGAGACUGAUCGGCCACAUUGGGACUGAGACACGGCCCAAACUCCUACGGGAGGCAGCAGUAGGGAAUCUUCCACAAUGGACGCAAGUCUGAUGGAGCAACGCCGCGUGAGUGAAGAAGGUUUUCGGAUCGUAAAGCUCUGUUGUUGGUGAAGAAGGAUAGAGGUAGUAACUGGCCUUUAUUUGACGGUAAUCAACCAGAAAGUCACGGGCUAACUACGUGCCAGCAGCCGCGGUAAAU
RNAcentral lists this ribosomal RNA (394 nucleotides) under uncultured Lactobacillus sp. RNAcentral's name for it is "bacterial SSU rRNA". It matches the Rfam family "Bacterial small subunit ribosomal RNA", at positions 152 to 525 of the family's 1533-position model. Lineage: Bacteria; Bacillati; Bacillota; Bacilli; Lactobacillales; Lactobacillaceae. The record is from RNAcentral.